This is a long non-coding RNA of Gallus gallus (chicken), 572 nucleotides long. RefSeq annotates it as beta-keratin-related protein-like. NCBI's taxonomy places the organism in Eukaryota, Metazoa, Chordata, Aves, Galliformes, Phasianidae. The record is from RefSeq and is a predicted model, not a curated record. The transcript has 2 exons.
UGCGUCAUGAACACAGCAUAAAAGCUCCUGCUGCAGCAGGCUCAGCAUCGUCUUUGCGUCCUUCAUUCUCCUCCAGAAACGAGCUUUGCCUCCCUCAGCGAGAAAUGUCGUGCUGCAGACCCUGUGUCCCAUCCCCCUGCGGUGCCUCUGGCCCAACCCCACUGGCUAAGCAGCUGCAGUGAGCCAUGUGUCGCCCGCUGCGCUGACUCCACUGUGGUCAUCCGAGGCCUCCCCUGUGGUGGUGACCCUGCCGGGCCCCAUCCUCACCUCCUUCCCUCAGAGCACAGCCGUGGGAUCCUCUCUGUCAGCUGCUGUUGGCAGCUCCCUCAGCACCGCAGGGCGUUCCCAUCUCUUCUGGGGGCUCCCUUGGUCUGGGGGGCUCAGGGUUGUGUCUGCCUCGCCCGCCCUGCAGUUUUAACUGCUGAAGCCGAUGGAUCAUCCCAUUUGGACAACACAUCCUGGAUACGGAUGGAUCGUGCUCUCAACCUCCCUGUAGACUGAAAGCAUGAUUCUUCCCCUCUGUACAGAGCCACUUUAGCUUUUCCUUCUCAUUAAAGACUUUGUGCAGCAUA